UUUGCGUCGAAGGUAUACCGGUAAGGAGUGCUGGAGCGAAUAGAAGUGAGCAUGCAGGCAUGAGUAGCGAUAAUUAAUGUGAGAAUCAUUAACGCCGUAAACCCAAGGUUUCCUACGCGAUGCUCGUCAUCGUAGGGUUAGUCGGGUCCUAAGUCGAGUCCGAAAGGGGUAGACGAUGGCAAAUUGGUUAAUAUUCCAAUACCAACAUUAGUGUGCGAUGGAAGGACGCUUAGGGCUAAGGGGGCUAGCGGAUGGAAGUGCUAGUCUAAGGUCGUAGGAGGUUAUACAGGCAAAUCCGUAUAACAAUACUCCGAGAACUGAAAGGCUUUUUGAAGUCUUCGGAUGGAUAGAAGAACCCCUGAUGCCGUCGAGCCAAGAAAAGUUUCUAAGUUUAGCUAAUGUUGCCCGUACCGUAAACCGACACAGGUGGGUGGGAUGAGUAUUCUAAGGCGCGUGGAAGAACUCUCUUUAAGGAACUCUGCAAAAUAGCACCGUAUCUUCGGUAUAAGGUGUGGUUAGCUUUGUAUUAGGAUUUACUCCGAAAGCAAGGAAACUUACAACAAAGAGUCCCUCCCGACUGUUUACCAAAAACACAGCACUCUGCUAACUCGUAAGAGGAUGUAUAGGGUGUGACGCCUGCCCGGUGCUCGAAGGUUAAUUGAUGGGGUUAGCAUUAGCGAAGCUCUUGAUCGAAGCCCGAGUAAACGGCGGCCGUAACUAUAACGGUCCUAAGGUAGCGAAAUUCCUUGUCGGUUAAAUACCGACCUGCAUGAAUGGCGUAACGAGAUGGGAGCUGUCUCAAAGAGGGAUCCAGUGAAAUUGUAGUGGAGGUGAAAAUUCCUCCUACCCGCGGCAAGACGGAAAGACCCCGUGGACCUUUACUACAGCUUGACACUGCUACUUGGAUAAGAAUGUGCAGGAUAGGUGGGAGGCUUUGAGUAUAUGACGCCAGUUGUAUAUGAGCCAUUGUUGAGAUACCACUCUUUCUUAUUUGGGUAGCUAACCAGCUUGAGUUAUCCUCAAGUGGGACAAUGUCUGGUGGGUAGUUUGACUGGGGCGGUCGCCUCCCAAAUAAUAACGGAGGCUUACAAAGGUUGGCUCAGAACGGUUGGAAAUCGUUCGUAGAGUAUAAAGGUAUAAGCCAGCUUAACUGCAAGACAUACAAGUCAAGCAGAGACGAAAGUCGGUCUUAGUGAUCCGGUGGUUCUGUGUGGAAGGGCCAUCGCUCAAAGGAUAAAAGGUACCCCGGGGAUAACAGGCUGAUCUCCCCCAAGAGCUCACAUCGACGGGGAGGUUUGGCACCUCGAUGUCGGCUCAUCGCAUCCUGGGGCUGGAGCAGGUCCCAAGGGUAUGGCUGUUCGCCAUUUAAAGCGGUACGCGAGCUGGGUUCAGAACGUCGUGAGACAGUUCGGUCCCUAUCUGCCGUGGGCGUAAGAAGAUUGAAGAGAUUUGACCCUAGUACGAGAGGACCGGGUUGAACAAACCACUGGUGUAGCUGUUGUUCUGCCAAGAGCAUCGCAGCGUAGCUAAGUUUGGAAAGGAUAAACG
This 1548-nucleotide ribosomal RNA is filed under the name Campylobacter jejuni. Its description in RNAcentral is "partial 23S ribosomal RNA". It matches the Rfam family "Bacterial large subunit ribosomal RNA", at positions 1244 to 2770 of the family's 2925-position model. Lineage: Bacteria; Pseudomonadati; Campylobacterota; Epsilonproteobacteria; Campylobacterales; Campylobacteraceae. The record is from RNAcentral.